GACGAACGCUGGCGGCGUGCUUAACACAUGCCAGUCGAACGGAAAGGCCCUGCUUUUGUGGGGUGCUCGAGUGGCGAACGGGUGAGUAACACGUGAGUAACCUGCCCUUGACUUUGGGAUAACUUCAGGAAACUGGGGCUAAUACCGGAUAGGAGCUCCUGCUGCAUGGUGGGGGUUGGAAAGUUUCGGCGGUUGGGGAUGGACUCGCGGCUUAUCAGCUUGUUGGUGGGGUAGUGGCUUACCAAGGCUUUGACGGGUAGCCGGCCUGAGAGGGUGACCGGCCACAUUGGGACUGAGAUACGGCCCAGACUCCUACGGGAGGCAGCAGUGGGGAAUAUUGCACAAUGGGCGGAAGCCUGAUGCAGCAACGCCGCGUGCGGGAUGACGGCCUUCGGGUUGAAAACCGCUUUCGCCUGUGACGAAGCGUGAGUGACGGUAAUGGGUAAAGAAGCACCGGCUAACUACGUG
RNAcentral lists this ribosomal RNA (468 nucleotides) under uncultured bacterium. Its description in RNAcentral is "partial 16S ribosomal RNA". It matches the Rfam family "Bacterial small subunit ribosomal RNA", at positions 28 to 507 of the family's 1533-position model. The record is from RNAcentral.